AAGCUUAUGAAGAUUAGCUAUACAUCUGGAAUUACUAUCAGAUUUACGUGUGAUGCCAAUUGUAUGGUUUCCUAAGGUUUAAC
This 83-nucleotide small nucleolar RNA is filed under the name Setaria italica (foxtail millet). The record is from RNAcentral. Lineage: Eukaryota; Viridiplantae; Streptophyta; Magnoliopsida; Poales; Poaceae.